RNAcentral lists this ribosomal RNA (2899 nucleotides) under Klebsiella pneumoniae. Its description in RNAcentral is "23S ribosomal RNA". It matches the Rfam family "Bacterial large subunit ribosomal RNA". Lineage: Bacteria; Pseudomonadati; Pseudomonadota; Gammaproteobacteria; Enterobacterales; Enterobacteriaceae. The record is from RNAcentral.
UUAAGCGACUAAGCGUACACGGUGGAUGCCCUGGCAGUCAGAGGCGAUGAAGGACGUGCUAAUCUGCGAAAAGCGUCGGUAAGGUGAUAUGAACCGUUAUAACCGGCGAUGUCCGAAUGGGGAAACCCAGUGCAAUUCGUUGCACUAUCGUUAACUGAAUACAUAGGUUAACGAGGCGAACCGGGGGAACUGAAACAUCUAAGUACCCCGAGGAAAAGAAAUCAACCGAGAUUCCCCCAGUAGCGGCGAGCGAACGGGGAGCAGCCCAGAGUCUGAAUCAGCUUGUGUGUUAGUGGAACGGUCUGGAAAGUCCGACGGUACAGGGUGAUAGUCCCGUACACCAAAAUGCACAGGUUGUGAACUCGAAGAGUAGGGCGGGACACGUGGUAUCCUGUCUGAAUAUGGGGGGACCAUCCUCCAAGGCUAAAUACUCCUGACUGACCGAUAGUGAACCAGUACCGUGAGGGAAAGGCGAAAAGAACCCCGGCGAGGGGAGUGAAAAAGAACCUGAAACCGUGUACGUACAAGCAGUGGGAGCACCUUCGGGUGUGACUGCGUACCUUUUGUAUAAUGGGUCAGCGACUUAUAUUCUGUAGCAAGGUUAACCGUAUAGGGGAGCCGCAGGGAAACCGAGUCUUAACUGGGCGUUAAGUUGCAGGGUAUAGACCCGAAACCCGGUGAUCUAGCCAUGGGCAGGUUGAAGGUUGGGUAACACUAACUGGAGGACCGAACCGACUAAUGUUGAAAAAUUAGCGGAUGACUUGUGGCUGGGGGUGAAAGGCCAAUCAAACCGGGAGAUAGCUGGUUCUCCCCGAAAGCUAUUUAGGUAGCGCCUCGUGAAUUCAUCUUCGGGGGUAGAGCACUGUUUCGGCUAGGGGGUCAUCCCGACUUACCAACCCGAUGCAAACUACGAAUACCGAAGAAUGUUAUCACGGGAGACACACGGCGGGUGCUAACGUCCGUCGUGAAGAGGGAAACAACCCAGACCGCCAGCUAAGGUCCCAAAGUCAUGGUUAAGUGGGAAACGAUGUGGGAAGGCACAGACAGCCAGGAUGUUGGCUUAGAAGCAGCCAUCAUUUAAAGAAAGCGUAAUAGCUCACUGGUCGAGUCGGCCUGCGCGGAAGAUGUAACGGGGCUAAACCAUGCACCGAAGCUGCGGCAGCGACACUAUGUGUUGUUGGGUAGGGGAGCGUUCUGUAAGCCUGCGAAGGUGACCUGUGAGGGUUGCUGGAGGUAUCAGAAGUGCGAAUGCUGACAUAAGUAACGAUAAAGCGGGUGAAAAGCCCGCUCGCCGGAAGACCAAGGGUUCCUGUCCAACGUUAAUCGGGGCAGGGUGAGUCGACCCCUAAGGCGAGGCCGAAAGGCGUAGUCGAUGGGAAACAGGUUAAUAUUCCUGUACUUGGUGUUACUGCGAAGGGGGGACGGAGAAGGCUAUGUUAGCCGGGCGACGGUUGUCCCGGUUUAAGCAUGUAGGCUGGUUAUCCAGGCAAAUCCGGAUAAUCAAGGCUGAGGUGUGAUGACGAGGCACUACGGUGCUGAAGUAACAAAUGCCCUGCUUCCAGGAAAAGCCUCUAAGCAUCAGGUAACAUUAAAUCGUACCCCAAACCGACACAGGUGGUCAGGUAGAGAAUACCAAGGCGCUUGAGAGAACUCGGGUGAAGGAACUAGGCAAAAUGGUGCCGUAACUUCGGGAGAAGGCACGCUGGUGUGUAGGUGAAGUCCCUGCGGAUGGAGCUGAGACCAGUCGAAGAUACCAGCUGGCUGCAACUGUUUAUUAAAAACACAGCACUGUGCAAACACGAAAGUGGACGUAUACGGUGUGACGCCUGCCCGGUGCCGGAAGGUUAAUUGAUGGGGUUAUCCGUAAGGAGAAGCUCUUGAUCGAAGCCCCGGUAAACGGCGGCCGUAACUAUAACGGUCCUAAGGUAGCGAAAUUCCUUGUCGGGUAAGUUCCGACCUGCACGAAUGGCGUAAUGAUGGCCAGGCUGUCUCCACCCGAGACUCAGUGAAAUUGAACUCGCUGUGAAGAUGCAGUGUACCCGCGGCAAGACGGAAAGACCCCGUGAACCUUUACUAUAGCUUGACACUGAACAUUGAGCCUUGAUGUGUAGGAUAGGUGGGAGGCUUUGAAGCGUGGACGCCAGUCUGCGUGGAGCCAACCUUGAAAUACCACCCUUUAAUGUUUGAUGUUCUAACGUUGGCCCCUGACCGGGGUUGCGGACAGUGUCUGGUGGGUAGUUUGACUGGGGCGGUCUCCUCCCAAAGCGUAACGGAGGAGCACGAAGGUUAGCUAAUCCUGGUCGGACAUCAGGAGGUUAGUGCAAUGGCAUAAGCUAGCUUGACUGCGAGCGUGACGGCGCGAGCAGGUGCGAAAGCAGGUCAUAGUGAUCCGGUGGUUCUGAAUGGAAGGGCCAUCGCUCAACGGAUAAAAGGUACUCCGGGGAUAACAGGCUGAUACCGCCCAAGAGUUCAUAUCGACGGCGGUGUUUGGCACCUCGAUGUCGGCUCAUCACAUCCUGGGGCUGAAGUAGGUCCCAAGGGUAUGGCUGUUCGCCAUUUAAAGUGGUACGCGAGCUGGGUUUAGAACGUCGUGAGACAGUUCGGUCCCUAUCUGCCGUGGGCGCUGGAGAAUUGAGGGGGGCUGCUCCUAGUACGAGAGGACCGGAGUGGACGCAUCACUGGUGUUCGGGUUGUCAUGCCAAUGGCACUGCCCGGUAGCUAAAUGCGGAAGAGAUAAGUGCUGAAAGCAUCUAAGCACGAAACUUGCCCCGAGAUGAGUUCUCCCUGAGACUUUAAGUCUCCUGAAGGAACGUUGAAGACGACGACGUUGAUAGGCCGGGUGUGUAAGCGCAGCGAUGCGUUGAGCUAACCGGUACUAAUGAACCGUGAGGCUUAACCU